RNAcentral lists this ribosomal RNA (252 nucleotides) under uncultured bacterium. RNAcentral's name for it is "partial 16S ribosomal RNA". It matches the Rfam family "Bacterial small subunit ribosomal RNA", at positions 525 to 776 of the family's 1533-position model. The record is from RNAcentral.
ACGGAGGGUGCAAGCGUUAUCCGGAAUCAUUGGGUUUAAAGGGUCCGCAGGCGGUCUUAUAAGUCAGUGGUGAAAUCUCUCAGCUUAACUGAGAAACUGCCAUUGAUACUGUAGGACUUGAAUGUGGUCGAAGUGGGCGGAAUAUGACAUGUAGCGGUGAAAUGCAUAGAUAUGUCAUAGAACACCGAUAGCGAAGGCAGCUCACUAGGCCAUUAUUGACGCUCAUGGACGAAAGCGUGGGGAGCAAACAGG